Molecule: long non-coding RNA, 282 nt
Filed under: Mytilus galloprovincialis (Mediterranean mussel)
Lineage: Eukaryota; Metazoa; Mollusca; Bivalvia; Mytilida; Mytilidae
Source: RNAcentral
GAAGAUUCAAAAUGUCUCCUGCUAUGCAUAUCUAUGUGUUGUUUUUCUGUAGGUUCGCAAGUAUAUUUGACAUUGACCAAGGGAUAUAACAGAGUGUAUGUGCAGCUAAUUAUCUUAUGUACAAUUAUUUAUCUGUUUGUCUUUUUUUUAGCAAUGGCGUUGUCACUUUAUUUUCAAUCUAUGAGUUUGACUGUCCCUCUGGUAUCUUUCGUCCCCCUUUUCUAUUACAUUCUGUCCAGCAUUAUGAGCAAAGAGUUAAAUUUGUUUCUACCUCUCACACAC